GCAUAUCAAUAAGCGGAGGAAAAGAAACCAACCGGGAUUGCCCUAGCUAACGGCGAGUGAAGCGGCAAGAGCUCAAAUUUGAAAGCUGGCUCCUUCGGGGUCCGCAUUGUAAUUUGCAGAGGAUGCUUCGGGAGCGGUCCCCAUCUAAGUGCCCUGGAACGGGCCGUCAUAGAGGGUGAGAAUCCCGUAUGGGAUGGGGUGCCCGCGCCCGUGUGAAGCUCCUUCGACGAGUCGAGUUGUUUGGGAAUGCAGCUCUAAUUGGGUGGUAAAUUUCAUCUAAAGCUAAAUAUUGGCCGGAGACCGAUAGCGCACAAGUAGAGUGAUCGAAAGAUGAAAAGCACUUUGAAAAGAGAGUUAAACAGCACGUGAAAUUGUUGAAAGGGAAGCGCUUGCGAUCAGACUCGCUCGCGGGGUUCAGCCGGCCUUCGGGCCGGUGUACUUCCCCGCGAGCGGGCCAGCGUCGGUUUGGGCGGCCGGUCAAAGGCCCCUGGAAUGUAACGCCUCUCGGGGCGUCUUAUAGCCAGGGGUGCCAUGCGGCCUGCCCGGACCGAGGAACGCGCUUCGGCUCGGACGCUGGCAUAAUGGUCGUAAGCGACCCGUCUUGAAACACGGACCAAGGAGUCUAACAUCUACGCGAGUGUUCGGGUGUCAAACCCGUGCGCGCAGUGAAAGCGAACGGAGGUGGGAACCCCUCGGGGUGCACCAUCGACCGAUCCUGAUGUCUUCGGAUGGAUUUGAGUAAGAGCGUAGCUGUUGGGACCCGAAAGAUGGUGAACUAUGCCUGAAUAGGGCGAAGCCAGAGGAAACUCUGGUGGAGGCUCGCAGCGGUUCUGACGUGCAAAUCGAUCGUCAAAUUUGGGUAUAGGGGCGAAAGACUAAUCGAACCAUCUAGUAGCUGGUUCCUGCCGA
This 909-nucleotide ribosomal RNA is filed under the name Penicillium sp. NRRL 28148. Its description in RNAcentral is "LSU rRNA". It matches the Rfam family "Eukaryotic large subunit ribosomal RNA", at positions 38 to 964 of the family's 3401-position model. The record is from RNAcentral. Lineage: Eukaryota; Fungi; Ascomycota; Eurotiomycetes; Eurotiales; Aspergillaceae.